CUGGAAGAUUUUGUAUUCUGUCUCCACGUACAAGCAUUGCACAGUCCAUCUUUUUCAGCGUUCUCUGUGGGCUGACUGCCGUCAUCAAGAGCCACCGGAUCAACUGAAAUCAGCAUGAACAGGGCAUGCAAAUAGAGUACAUUGCUCUAAUACUCAGCUCAUGACCAGUGACGUAAGCCGAAAAUGAUGACUGCAGAAGCAGGUGACAGAGGUGAGGAAAGUAAGCAAAAGGUGAAAAGAAAACCAAGAUGUUCGUGGAUUUGGGAUGUUAAGGAGUCUCCCCUCAACAUGCACUUGGGCUGUGCCUGCAGUUUGAGUACCAGGGCAAACCUGGCAGGUGAUUGCCUCACCUCAGGAGCAGUGGGAGACAGUGAAUUCCUGCAUUCUUCUUCAAUGUCUGUUAGAAUAGCUGAAGAAAAACAGCCCCAAGGUCACAGGAGGAAAGGAGCAUGAUCUCCAGAGCCAGGCGUGUGGCUUGCCCCUUCGCUGUCCACAGCGUUUUUUGAAACUCAGUGCAUGACAGGUUGAAAUGUCUUUGCUUUGGUCCCGCUCCGUGGUCCUGACUCUACUGAGGGCAGGAAUGGGCAGGAGGGGGGCAGCCUGCAAAACCUGCCCCCUGCUUGGCUGUGCGUGGUGAACUUUGUACCAGGAUAUUUGGAGUACAUAAAUCUGAGGAACUGCAAGCAAGUAGUUCAUGACUGUUCCUGAAGUUUUAACAAAAUUACAAAAAUAGUAACAGAGGCAGUAGAAAGGCAAGGAACUGGAGGAAGCCUGCCCAAAUGGACCACCACUGCCUUGUUUCAAUCAGUGCUGAAUUACUGAGUAGUCAUGACUAACAUGUGAUUCACACUGACAGGAAGACCUGCUCACAGCUGGCAGAGUUUUCGUUGGGCACUGGGCACAGGGUAAGGACAGUCUGCGUUCUCAGGGAGGUUUGUGUCUCCAAACCACGCCUGAGCAGUGAGGCAGGAGGAAGGCUGGAGCCACGUGUCCAUGCUGCAUCUCGUGGACAGCUGAUGUUCAGGCUCAGGCCUUCCAGCAACGUCAUCUCCAGCUUCAGACACAGACAGAAGCAAAAGGGCUGCUCUGGUGAUCGAGCAGCUUGGCUGCUACACGCACCACAGCAAGAGUCAACAUUCGGAGAAGUUUCUUGAAAACAGAAAAAUCCUUGUCGCUGCCGUGCCACCAAGAUGAAGCCGCUGUUUGCCAUUCCCUGGGGAGCACAGUUUACUCCUCCGUUAGCGCAAAAACCAGCACAGGUGUUCCUGCUGGUGACUGGAUAAGAUUACGAAUCACUGCAGCUCAGCCCUGAGCCUCAAAGACACCGAUGCCUAUGUGGAAGUAGUCCCAGCUGUGAAGCUGUCUGUGCUGCUCUGGGGACAAGGGGGAUGAUUUGUUAAAAGCAGACACGUUACUGGUAAGUAGCACGCUGAGCUUCCCUCAUGGGCACUGAGGAAGAAGCUAAAUGCCUCCGUGCUGCAAGGAGUCACAUGGAAACCUACAAGUUUGGGAGGUGAGGAGCCUGGUUCCCUUAGGGCAGAAAUCACCCACUGCGUCCAACUGGGCAAGGCUACGCUGAGCUAUCUUGAAAAUUUUGAUUAUUUUAAUGCUAAAACAUCUUUAUUUCUCUAAAUAAAACUGCAGUUAUGCUAUUAGUGUCUCCCAUCCUGUUCCCCCCUCCUUCUGUAUUCUGUAUGGCAUGAUAGGAAACUGCAGGCAUCUUUUCAAUAUUGUUUUAUUUCCUUCAGCAGUGAUUAGAAAUGGACUUAGCUUGGCAGGAAACACUAAAGAAGGUCUGUCAAAGAGACGGCUUGGCCCUCUCAUGCAAGGAGCCCUUCAGGUCUGAGUUCCUGCCAGGAAUGCCACCCACCGCUUCCGAGCGCUGGGCUCCAGUUUCACCGACUCCUUCCUGAAGAGGCAGGGAUGUGCUCAGGAGCUAGCAGGAGGAGGAGGGAAGCUUGUCG
Anas platyrhynchos (mallard) is the source of this 1964-nucleotide RNA transcript. RefSeq lists it as uncharacterized. Lineage: Eukaryota; Metazoa; Chordata; Aves; Anseriformes; Anatidae. The record is from RefSeq and is a predicted model, not a curated record.